Molecule: transfer RNA, 73 nt
Filed under: bacterium
Lineage: Bacteria
Description: tRNA-Thr
Rfam family: tRNA
About the family: Transfer RNA (tRNA) molecules are approximately 80 nucleotides in length.
Source: RNAcentral
GCCGCCUUAACUCAGUUGGUAGAGUACCACUUUCGUAAAGUGGGUGUCCCCAGUUCGAUCCUGGGAGGCGGCU